ACGGGAAGAAAAGAAAAAACAAAGAGAGAAAGAGAGAGAGAGAAAACAAACAACAGAUGAGCAAUGGGGUUAACAUGAGGAGAGGAGGAGGAGGUGAUGGAGGGAUGAGAGGAGGAGUGGAGCUGGAGGAAAGGAGACUCUUUAGCCAGGGGAAAGGGGAAAUAGGGUCAAAUAGGCCGAGGGAAGGAGAAAUGGCACCACUGAGCCGAUACAGGUGAGAUAAUAAAUAAAUAAAUAAAUAAAUUCUCUUUUUGAAAGGGCUGAGAUAUUAAUAUUAUCUAUUAAUGUGAGAUAAGUGUUGGCUUCAGAGUCUCAGUUUCCCCUGCUGGGCUGGAGAGCUAACGGGAGCACUGGAAGACAGUAUAGGUAUCAUUCAGUAACACAGAGUCACAGUGAUGAAGAGCAGGAGGCAUGUUGACCAUCUUAGAGCAAAUCAGAUUUAAAGGGACAGUUCACCCCAAAAUCAAAAGCAUAUUUUCCUCUUACCUCUGAUGCUGUAAUGGUUUGGUGUGAGUUGCAGAGUGUUGGUGACAUCGGUCGUAGAGAUGUCCGCCUUCUUAUUUAUGUAAUAAAACUAGAUGACACUCAGCUUGUGGUGCUCAAAGCCCCAAAAAAUACAUUUCAGAUACUAAAUAGCAAUGUCUCUUUCCAGAAAUCAUGAAAUCAUGACCUGGUUACUCAAGAUAAUCCACAGACCUUGUUGUUUGCAGUUUCGUGUAGGAAGUAUUUUCUCUCCACAUACCCCAACUGUAUCAGUGCACAGAAGGAAAUGUGCAUCUCCUCAUCGAGCUCAGAUAUUCAACCCAAGCCUGAUCAGGCUUGACCUGACCCGCCGGGUUCAGGCUGGGCUGGGCUGCAAUGCCCUGGGGGGGCAGCAGCUGAGAGAGGAAGAGUGAUGGGACAAUGAAGCAAUAUAGUGGAGAGCUAGGGUAGACAGACUGCACAGCCUGCUCUUCCAAACCCAUCGUGGAUGAGAUGACAAUACUAUUGAAAUAAGGAAGAGAAGAAAGAGAAGUGGUGCAUGGAAACACGUCAGCCCUUAGCUUGUAAUAAAUGUAUAUAAAAUAUAAUAUAUAUAUUUUUUACCAUUGAAAUGCUUGUUUUUAAUCAGGCUUGAGCCCACCACUGCUGGGUGGCUUGGUCAGAAACUGUGUGGGUUUAUGUCAGGCCUAAUAUUUUGGGCCUGAUCAGAGCUCCAUCUCAUGGACAAGAGAUUUGUGCUUGUGACAGUGUGAGAUGUAAACAUUAAUGGCGUGCUGAGCUGUAACGUUAGCUAGCUCAGUGAUGCAAGGUGAGCUAGCAGAAAAUGCAUGCAUCUUCUGCGCAGUGAUGCGGUUGGCAGGUGUGGUUUGGUAGAAAGAAAAUACUUCCUACAUGAAACUGCUCGCAACAAGGGUUGUGGAUUAUGUUAAUUAACCAGGUCAGAAUUUCAGGAAAGAGAUGUUGCAGUUGAGUUUAUGAAAUUUUGUUUUGUUUUAUUUAUUUAUUUAUAUAUUUAUUUUAUUUUUUAUUUUUUACUUUGAGCACCACAAGCCGAAUGCCAUCUAGUUUCAUUAUACUGGAGAGAAGGGAGACAUCUCUGCGAACGGUAUCUCCAACAAUCGGCAACUCACACCAACAUUACAACUGCACUGAGAUAAACCUUCAUCCAUCUAACUGGGUUCAAUUCUUAGUUUCAAAGGAGAAAUCCAGUAUUUUGCACUUUGAGCCUCAUUUCUGGGUUGUUUAUGGUGAAAUGGAGUGGCUAAGACCAAAACAAUCGAGAUGCAAGCCACAGCUUGCUACGAUUUUUAUGUCAGAACAUCAAGGAACACCACUAACCACUCAGUGAGUUUCAUGGCUUUGAAAACGAACGUUCAGGGCAGAGUCCUGCGCUGGGUACCCGACGGGAACCCGCAAAAACAGCUGAUUUGCGGGUGGUUUUUAAAAAAAUUUUUUUUCCCGGGUUCAGAUCAUAACAUGCGGGUCGGAUCGCGGGUUUUAGAUAAACACAUCAGUCAUUAGUUCGGUAAACUACAGAUAACUAUCUUGGUCAUUAUUUACUCUCUGAGGAUCGCCUCCGCUAUUUCGCAACGGUCAUUGGUUCAGCUGUUUACACGCGUUUCACCAUCUAAUAACACAAUUUGUGAUUGGACGACAGAAUCAACAUGGCUGCCACCGUCUAACAAGCGCCGCUUCCAAAACAGUAAAUAAUUAUUUAGGUAUUUGAGAAAUAAGUGGAUAAAACGUACAACUAUCACUUUAUAAUGUUUCUGAAGUGUUUCCCUGAUGGAUUACUUCUCUCCUCGAUGGAUUCUAAAAACACGUGACGGCUCGUAACUGCUGAACGUCGCUCUGGACAGAAAGUAAGUCUAUUAUUACACAUGUAAAGUUCCUUUACAUAGAUUAAAAGUUUAAAAGCAUUAAACGUAACAAACGAGUGCUUUUACACUCGUAUGGGAGAAGAACACAGAGGGUUGAUGAUGGAGCUGAAGUCAGGUUUUUAUUGUGAGAGCUGCUUCAUUCAGGUCGUUGUUUACUUACUGGCACCUUAACUGUGGCGAUAUGCUGUUCAAUAUUCAGCCAAUAUGACCCAAAAUGAUUACUCUAAAUCCGGGUUACGGGUCGGGCUGCGGGUCGUGUUUCAACGGGUCGGACCAGGUUGCGGUACUAACUGGCCUGAUGCGCGGGUUUGCGGUUUGGGUGCGGGUUUGUACGUCCCCGGGUCGGGUCGGGGUGGAUCUUGAAAACUGGACCUGUGCAGGACUCUGGUUCAGGGUGGUUUCAGGACAGAUUCACACAUGGCGAUAGACAGCAGUGUUAAGCCAGGCAGGGGAAAGCCAAAUUCUCCGAAAAUGAGCAAUCGUCACUAUUUUGGUCUUAGCCUUCUAUUUCACCAUAAACAACCCAGAAAUGGGGCUUAAAGUCCAAAAUGCCGGACUUCUCCUUUAAAGAAGUUUUAGUAUUUUUUUAAAUCCUUUUUUAGUACAGCAGCAAAAAAAACACUUUAAUGUACAGAGGUUAGGAAAAGGGGGAGAAAGGUUUUCAAAUGAGUCGUAGUUGGCUGGUGCUUAUGUUGCCAGAUACAGCUAACACCUGCACAGAAGCGCAUUGGCUAUUUGGGGUGAAUAAUCAACUACAAACUCACUAAAGCAAUCCCUUUUCAAAAGUUUUUGGUACAUCUAGGCUCAUGGAAUUAACCUCCUGUGCUUCUAUAGAUAAUGAUUGUUAGUGUUUGUCAGAGUUUGAGUUCUCUUAUCCAGAUUAUUACAAGACUGUUUUGUCGGUAUGGAUGUCUUCCAAAGCUCCUGUUAACGCUCCAUCAUAUCAACAUCCAUCACAACAACAUCCAACAUCCAUCUGUUAAGACAAAGGCUCUUUGUGAUUUCAAAUAUGGAACGUUCAUGAUGAGGGUGGGAACAACCCAGAAUCAAGCAUUAAACCAUGCAAGGGUUAUUCAGACAAUAAACUGCACGCUUCCAUGUAACAGCUAACCUACACAUGUACAGUUGUGUAAACAUCCAUUUGCCUGUGAGUGUUUCUGCUGAGUCAGACACUGGGUGAGAGCAGAGCUGCUGUCUGCUGAGGGGGCAUGCACGUGGAGAUGCCGUGUGCUAAAAGCAGUGUGCCGAGCUGAGCUGAGCCGAGCAGGUCCGAGCCGAGGUUGACCAGAAGUGUGACUGUGCUGUGAGGAGUGCUAGGAUGCCGGGAGAGAGGGAGG
Molecule: long non-coding RNA, 3700 nt
Organism: Epinephelus moara (kelp grouper)
Lineage: Eukaryota; Metazoa; Chordata; Actinopteri; Perciformes; Serranidae
Exons: 4
Source: RefSeq, a predicted model, not a curated record